UACGUAGGGGGCAAGCGUUAUCCGGAUUUACUGGGUGUAAAGGGAGCGUAGACGGCAUGGCAAGUCUGGUGUGAAAGGCAGGGGCUCAACCCCUGGACUGCAUUGGAAACUGUCAGGCUGGAGUGCAGGAGAGGUAAGUGGAAUUCCUAGUGUAGCGGUGAAAUGCGUAGAUAUUAGGAGGAACACCAGUGGCGAAGGCGACUUACUGGACUGUAACUGACGUUGAGGCUCGAAAGCGUGGGGAGCAAAC
RNAcentral lists this ribosomal RNA (250 nucleotides) under uncultured bacterium. RNAcentral describes it as "partial 16S ribosomal RNA". It matches the Rfam family "Bacterial small subunit ribosomal RNA", at positions 524 to 773 of the family's 1533-position model. The record is from RNAcentral.